This 566-nucleotide ribosomal RNA is filed under the name Marinobacter sp. MBTDCMFRIMab27. RNAcentral describes it as "bacterial SSU rRNA". It matches the Rfam family "Bacterial small subunit ribosomal RNA", at positions 88 to 650 of the family's 1533-position model. Lineage: Bacteria; Pseudomonadati; Pseudomonadota; Gammaproteobacteria; Pseudomonadales; Marinobacteraceae. The record is from RNAcentral.
CUGACCAGCGGCGGACGGGUGAGUAAUGCAUAGGAAACUGCCCAGUAUUGGGGGAUAGCCCGGGGAAACCCGGAUUAAUACCGCAUACGUCCUUCGGGAGAAAGCAGGGGAUCUUCGGACCUUGCGCUAUUGGAUGUGCCUAUGUCGGAUUAACUAGUUGGUGGGGUAAAGGCCUACCAAGGCGACCAUCCGUAGCUGGUCUGAGAGGAUGAUCAGCCACAUCGGGACUGACACACGCCCCGAACUCCUACGGGAGGCAGCAGUGGGGAAUAUUGGACAAUGGGGGCAACCCUGAUCCAGCCAUGCCGGGUGUGUGAAGAAGGCUUUCCGGUUGUAAAGCACUUUCCUUGAGGAGGAAAACCUUAACAUUAAUACUCUUGAGGCUUGACGUUACUCACAGAAGAAGCACCGGCUAACUCCGUGCCACCGCCCGCGGUAAUACGGAGGGGGCAUGCGUUAAUCGGAAUUAUUGGGCGUAAGGCGCGCGUAGGGGGUUUGAUAACCGAAAUGUGAAUGCCCCGGGCUUAUCCUGGGAACGGCAUUUCGAACUGUCAUGCUAGAGUAUG